This is a non-coding RNA of Coturnix japonica (Japanese quail), 222 nucleotides long. The record is from RefSeq and is a predicted model, not a curated record. NCBI's taxonomy places the organism in Eukaryota, Metazoa, Chordata, Aves, Galliformes, Phasianidae.
UGUAGAUAAUUACCCGGGUUCAUUUAACGCUGUUCCCUGGUCGGAUGGUGCUUCUGUUCCUGAGGUGGAACCCAGAGGUGUGAAUGGAGGGGAAUGGGAUGCAGAAUCUCAGCCACCUCUUGUAGCAAAACCGAGAGUGGAUGGUAUGGAAGUGCCUCCAGAGAGGUCUGUGCCAAAGCCGAAGUUGGAUUACGUGCUGGAGCCCCGCUGCUAUCCCAAUGG